Molecule: ribosomal RNA, 468 nt
Filed under: uncultured bacterium
Lineage: Bacteria
Description: partial 16S ribosomal RNA
Rfam family: Bacterial small subunit ribosomal RNA
Source: RNAcentral
GACGAACGCUGGCGGCGUGCUUAACACAUGCAAGUCGAACGGAAAGGCCCUGCUUUUGUGGGGUGCUCGAGUGGCGAACGGGUGAGUAACACGUGAGUAACCUGCCCUUGACUUUGGGAUAACUUCAGGAAACUGGGGCUAAUACCGGAUAGGAGCUCCUGCUGCAUGGUGGGGGUUGGAAAGUUUCGGCGGUUGGGGAUGGACUCGCGGCUUAUCAGCUUGUUGGUGGGGUAGUGGCUUACCAAGGCUUUGACGGGUAGCCGGCCUGAGAGGGUGACCGGCCACAUUGGGACUGAGAUACGGCCCAGACUCCUACGGGAGGCAGCAGUGGGGAAUAUUGCACAAUGGGCGGAAGCCUGAUGCAGCAACGCCGCGUGCGGGAUGACGGCCUUCGGGUUGUAAACCGCUUUCGCCUGUGACGAAGCGUGAGUGACGGUAAUGGGUAAAGAAGCACCGGCUCCCUACGUC